GGCUGGUCUGAUGACAGUGGGUUAUCAGAACUUAUUAACAUUAGUGUCACUAAAGUUGGUAUUCAACUCCUCCCCCCUGCUAAAUUUGACUGGCUUAAA
This 99-nucleotide Y RNA is filed under the name Microcebus murinus (gray mouse lemur). RNAcentral describes it as "Y RNA (ENSMICG00000043430.1)". It matches the Rfam family "Y RNA". From Rfam's summary of the family: Y RNAs are components of the Ro ribonucleoprotein particle (Ro RNP), in association with Ro60 and La proteins. The record is from Rfam by way of RNAcentral. Lineage: Eukaryota; Metazoa; Chordata; Mammalia; Primates; Cheirogaleidae.